AUUGAACGCUAGCGGGAUGCCUUACACAUGCAAGUCGAACGGAGUGGCGAACGGGUGAGUAAUGUAUCGGAACGUGCCCAGUAGCGGGGGCUAACUCCGCGAAAGCGUAGCUAAUACCGCAUACUCUUGGCGCGGCCGAUAUCGGAUUAGCUAGGUGGUGGGGGAACGGCUCACUAAGUCGACGAUCCGUAGCUGGUUUGAGAUGAGUACCAGCCACACUGGGACUGAGACCCGGCCCAGCCGCCUACGGGUGGCAGCAGUGGGGAAUUUUUGACAAGUGGGUAAACCCGGGUCCAGCCAUCCCGCGUGUGCGAUGAAGGCCUUCGGGUUGUAAAGUACUUUCAGCUGGGAGGCGUUACCCGCAGAAGAAGCACCGGCUAACUCCGUGCCAGCCGCCGCGGUAAUAC
RNAcentral lists this ribosomal RNA (407 nucleotides) under uncultured bacterium. Its description in RNAcentral is "partial 16S ribosomal RNA". It matches the Rfam family "Bacterial small subunit ribosomal RNA", at positions 30 to 526 of the family's 1533-position model. The record is from RNAcentral.